Long non-coding RNA from Oncorhynchus tshawytscha (Chinook salmon), 1779 nucleotides. Lineage: Eukaryota; Metazoa; Chordata; Actinopteri; Salmoniformes; Salmonidae. The record is from Ensembl.
AGAGAUAUAGAGAGAAUGAAACAGGGAGACAGAUAUGGACAGAGAGAUAGAGAGUGAAUUAAUCAGGGAGACAGAUAUGGACAGAGAGAUAUAGAGUGAAUGAAACAGGGAGACAGAUAUGGACAGAGAGAUAUAGAGUGAAUUAAUCAGAGAGACAGAUAUGGACAGAGAGAUAUAGAGUGAAUUAAUCAGGGAGACAGAUAUGGAGAAGGUGGAGGGCCCGAGGUAAUCACACUCCAGCUGCUAGAAGCCUUGUGUAGUUCGGACUAUUAUGAUGAAUGAAGUAUGCAGUGACUAUAUUAGAGAGCUACCGGCAUGUCAUUGUGACAUCAUACACACUGCUUUACAUGUCAUUGUGACAUCAUCCACACUGCUUUUACAUGUCAUUAUGAAAUCAUCCACACUGCUUUACAUGUCAUUGUGACAUCAUCCACACUGCUUUACAUGUCAUUGUAACAUCAUACACACUGCUUUAAAUGUCAUUGUGACAUCAUCCACACUGCUUUAAAUGUCAUUGUGACAUCAUCCACACUGCUUACAUGUCAUUGUGACAUCAUCCACACUGCUUUACAUGUCAUUGUCAUCGUGUGGUCAGGAGAAGCAUCAAGGUGUGUCAGGUCAACAUCAUCCACACUGCUUUACAUGCAAUCUACCACAAACAGGCUCAAAUCAGAUAUGUGUUUAUUAUCAGAUGUUAAGGCAGGUAACAGUGAAAUGAUUGUGUUUCUAGAUCCAGCAGUACAUGAAAUGAUUGUGUUUCUAGAUCCAGCAGUACAGUAAAUGAUUGUGUUUCACCAGUGCAGUAAAUUAUUGUGUUCCUAGAUCCAUCAGUGUAAUAAAUGAUUGUGUUUCUAGCUCCACCAGUGCAGUAAAUGAUUGUGUUCCUAGCUCCAGCAGUGCAGUAAAUGAUUGUGUUUGUCGCUCCACCAGUGCAGUAAAUAUAUAACAGUACAAUACCAAUGCACAACAAAGCAACAAAAAAAAUCGAAUUAAGAAAGAUCAGAACAAGCAUAUCAGAGCCCGGAAUAUAAAUACGUGAUCUGCAUAGACAGUAUGAACAAUAUACAAGUAGGUGAAGGUAUGUACAGCAUUAGUUAUAUAGGAUGAGCUACGUCCAGCAUACAGUAUGUACAGCAUUAGUUAUAUAGGAUGAGCUACGUCCAGCAUACAGUAUGUACAGCAUUAGUUAUAUAGGAUGAGCUACGUCCAGCAUACAGUAUGUACAGCAUUAGUUAUAUAGGAUGAGCUACGUCCAGAAUACAGUAUGUACAGCAUUAGUUAUAUAGGAUGAGCUAUGUCCAGGAUACAGUAUGAAUGGCAGUAGUUAUAUAGGAUGAGCUAUGUCCAGAAUACAGUAUGAAUGGCAGUAGUUAUAUAUGAUAGAGUUCCAUGUGGUAGCCGGGUAGUGAUAGUCUCUAAGGUGCAGGGUAGAGUACCGGGUGGUAGCUGGAUAGUGAGUUGCUGUGCUUCACUGAGAAGAAUGCUGCUAGCUUGCACCUAACGCCUACACACACACACGCAUGAAUGCACGAACACACACACACAGAGAAAGAUUAAAGCACAAAAGGAUAAUGAUGGUGUCUUUCCGACAGCAGAUCAAUCACAUGACGUGGUCUGUCUGUCAAACAGUGGUAGAAAGAUCAAGCUAAAAUAAUUACAUCUUAUCCAGCCACACACACACACACACGGAGACACACAGACACACACACACACACACACACACACACACACACACACACACACACAGAGACACACACACACACACACACAGAGACACAC